This 727-nucleotide ribosomal RNA is filed under the name Streptococcus gallolyticus. Its description in RNAcentral is "bacterial SSU rRNA". It matches the Rfam family "Bacterial small subunit ribosomal RNA", at positions 42 to 753 of the family's 1533-position model. The record is from RNAcentral. Lineage: Bacteria; Bacillati; Bacillota; Bacilli; Lactobacillales; Streptococcaceae.
GCGUGCCUAAUACUGCAAGUAGAACGCUGACUACUUUAGCUUGCUAGAGUAGAAGGAGUUGCGAACGGGUGAGUAACGCGUAGGUAACCUGCCUACUAGCGGGGGAUAACUAUUGGAAACGAUAGCUAAUACCGCAUAACAGUGUUUAACACAUGUUAGAUGCUUGAAAGAUGCAAAUGCAUCACUAGUAGAUGGACCUGCGUUGUAUUAGCUAGUUGGUGGGGUAACGGCCUACCAAGGCGACGAUACAUAGCCGACCUGAGAGGGUGAUCGGCCACACUGGGACUGAGACACGGCCCAGACUCCUACGGGAGGCAGCAGUAGGGAAUCUUCGGCAAUGGGGGCAACCCUGACCGAGCAACGCCGCGUGAGUGAAGAAGGUUUUCGGAUCGUAAAGCUCUGUUGUAAGAGAAGAACGUGUGUGAGAGUGGAAAGUUCACACAGUGACGGUAACUUACCAGAAAGGGACGGCUAACUACGUGCCAGCAGCCGCGGUAAUACGUAGGUCCCGAGCGUUGUCCGGAUUUAUUGGGCGUAAAGCGAGCGCAGGCGGUUUAAUAAGUCUGAAGUUAAAGGCAGUGGCUUAACCAUUGUUCGCUUUGGAAACUGUUAAACUUGAGUGCAGAAGGGGAGAGUGGAAUUCCAUGUGUAGCGGUGAAAUGCGUAGAUAUAUGGAGGAACACCGGUGGCGAAAGCGGCUCUCUGGUCUGUAACUGACGCUGAGGCU